Molecule: ribosomal RNA, 352 nt
Filed under: uncultured bacterium
Lineage: Bacteria
Description: bacterial SSU rRNA
Rfam family: Bacterial small subunit ribosomal RNA
Source: RNAcentral
GGACCCGCACAAGCGGUGGAUGAUGUGGUUUAAUUCGAUGCAACGCGAAAAACCUUACCUACCCUUGACAUGUACGGAACUUGCCAGAGAUGGCUUGGUGCUCGAAAGAGAGCCGUAACACAGGUGCUGCAUGGCUGUCGUCAGCUCGUGUCGUGAGAUGUUGGUUAAGUCCCGCAACGAGCGCAACCCUUGUCAUUAGUUGCUACAUUUAGUUGGGCACUCUAAUGAGACUGCCGGUGACAAACCGGAGGAAGGUGGGGAUGACGUCAAGUCCUCAUGGCCUUAUGGGUAGGGCUACACACGUCAUACAAUGGCUGGUACAGAGAGCAGCCAAUGCGCGAGCAUGAGCAAA